UGGGGAAUAUUGCACAAUGGAGGGAACUCUGAUGCAGCGACGCCGCGUGAGUGAUGAAGGAAUUCGUUUCGUAAAACUCUGUUCUAUGGGAAGAAAAGGACUGUACCAUAGGAGAAAGCUCCGGCUAAAUACGUGCCAGCAGCCGCGGUAAUACGUAUGGAGCGAGCGUUGUCCGGAAUUAUUGGGGGUAAAGGGUGCGCAGGCGGCUUUACAAGUUGGAUGUGAAAUAUUGUGGCUCAACCACAAACGUGCAUCCAAAACUGCAAAGCUUGAGUUAAGGAGAGGUAAGUGGAAUUCCUGGUGUAGCGGUGGAAUGCGUAGAUAUCAGGAGGAAUACCGGUGGCGAAGGCGACUUACUGGACUUAAACUGACGCUCAGGCACGAAAGCGUGGGGAGCAAACAGG
This 404-nucleotide ribosomal RNA is filed under the name Fusobacteriota bacterium. RNAcentral's name for it is "Fusobacteria bacterium partial 16S ribosomal RNA". It matches the Rfam family "Bacterial small subunit ribosomal RNA", at positions 355 to 776 of the family's 1533-position model. Lineage: Bacteria; Fusobacteriati; Fusobacteriota. The record is from RNAcentral.